Molecule: long non-coding RNA, 297 nt
Organism: Coregonus clupeaformis (lake whitefish)
Lineage: Eukaryota; Metazoa; Chordata; Actinopteri; Salmoniformes; Salmonidae
Exons: 3
Source: RefSeq, a predicted model, not a curated record
AAAAGGAAGACAUCAACCUCCCUAGUGCUUUUCUAGAGGAAGUCUUAAAAGUCUCAGGUCUCCUGCCAACCACUGUUGCCCCAACAACCACCACCACCACUGUGGCUUCCACUACGGCAAUUAAAACUGCAGGUCCUCCAACAACAACCACAAUUGUACUUCCUACAACGACAACUGCAACUUUGACCUCAACUUCUAUGUCUUCAGUGACAUCAACAACUAGAUUUGGCACAGUGAUGUUUUUUGUUAGACUGAUGUUCCAGCUCAACACACCAGUCCCCACUAAGGAUGAUGUCC